AUUGAACGCUGGCGGCAGGCCUAACACAUGCAAGUCGAGCGGAUGAAGGGAGCUUGCUCCUGGAUUCAGCGGCGGACGGGUGAGUAAUGCCUAGGAAUCUGCCCGGUAGUGGGGGAUAACGUCCGGAAACGGGCGCUAAUACCGCAUACGUCCUGAGGGAGAAAGUGGGGGAUCUUCGGACCUCACGCUAUCAGAUGAGCCUAGGACGGAUUAGCUAGUUGGUGGGGUAAAGGCCUACCAAGGCGACGAUCCGUAGCUGGUCUGAGAGGAUGAUCAGUCACACUGGAACUGAGACACGGUCCAGACUCCUACGGGAGGCAGCAGUGGGGAAUAUUGGACAAUGGGCGAAAGCCUGAUCCAGCCAUGCCGCGUGUGUGAAGAAGGUCUUCGGAUUGUAAAGCACUUUAAGUUGGGAGGAAGGGCAGUAAGUUAAUACCUUGCUGUUUUGACGUCACCAACAGAAUAAGCACCGGCUAACUUCGUG
RNAcentral lists this ribosomal RNA (484 nucleotides) under uncultured bacterium. RNAcentral describes it as "partial 16S ribosomal RNA". It matches the Rfam family "Bacterial small subunit ribosomal RNA", at positions 30 to 507 of the family's 1533-position model. The record is from RNAcentral.